This 253-nucleotide ribosomal RNA is filed under the name uncultured bacterium. RNAcentral's name for it is "partial 16S ribosomal RNA". It matches the Rfam family "Bacterial small subunit ribosomal RNA", at positions 524 to 776 of the family's 1533-position model. The record is from RNAcentral.
UACAGAGGGGGCAAGCGUUGUCCGGAUUUAUUGGGCGUAAAGAGCGUGUAGGCGGCUUGGCAAGUCCGCUGUGAAAACUCGAGGCUUAACCUCGAGACGUCGGUGGAAACUGCCUGGCUAGAGUCCGGAAGAGGAGUGUGGAAUUCCUGGUGUAGCGGUGAAAUGCGCAGAUAUCAGGAAGAACACCUAUGGCGAAGGCAGCACUCUGGGACGGUACUGACGCUGAGACGCGAAAGCGUGGGGAGCGAACAGG